RNAcentral lists this long non-coding RNA (903 nucleotides) under Linum usitatissimum (flax). Its description in RNAcentral is "long non-coding RNA (LUSI_LNC006483)". Lineage: Eukaryota; Viridiplantae; Streptophyta; Magnoliopsida; Malpighiales; Linaceae. The record is from RNAcentral.
GAGUUAAAGGUACUUUGCUUAUACAUAUGUCUUUGUACUAUAGCAAACAUGUUUCCUUAAUAUGAACAUAAUUUCAUGGUCAGGUGAUCUCGAACACUCUGAAGCUGUGCUUUACAGGCAGAUAUCCUUCACUUCUCGAGGAUCAAACUUCGACUUCUUCCAUAAACAAGAGCUGAAUACAACAGCCAAUGACACCCUGGACUUCGCAACGAUGAGAGAAAAAGGCUGAUUAUUGUUGUUGUUGAAAAUUGCAGAACUUGCUGGUUCAAGAAUCAAGAGUAUCUAAGCUUUAUAAAUACAGCUAACAAGUAAGUUAUCGGGUUGUUCUUCGAGCAUCAUAGUUCAUAGAAGUAUAGUACCACUAAAUUGACAUAGGUUCACUGAUGUAUGGCUCUCUUCUUUAACAGGAAAAGUUUCAGUGUUUGGAUCCGUAAGCAGGAAAAGUUUGAGUCUUGGCCCGGGAGAUAUGUAAUAGUCUAUCAUGCCUUGAAUUGGCAGCUCUAUUAGCACCAUGCUCCGUGUCACGGCUCGGAAAGCACCAUGAUGCGUCAUUGCUGGACCAUGACUCCUUCGAUAACUACACCACUUGACACACGACGAGUGCUCCGUCAUAAUAGCCUAAAAAGUACCUCUACGCGUCAUGGAUUCUCAAUAUCCACCCAUCAAAUCUCCACUGGAAGCACCAAAAAGCCAACUUGGCCUGCCUGAGGUCGUUAUACUGAUCGGGGCAAGCCUCGUACGGGAAAAUUCAAGGCGGCACAAAAGCCAUAGAUUCACACAACAAGACAUUACAUAGAUGUUUUUCUUUUAAGAGUAACUAGAAUCGUCGAUUCGGACUAUAUGUUAUUCCACUUGGACAUCAACAACAAUAAAAAUUGUUAAUGAAUAAUUGGCAUUCCAACG